AGCUGUGAACUUUAAUCUACACAAGAAUCUAUCUUCAAACGAAAUUAACGAAACAGAAUUUACAACAAAAGUAAAAUACAAUCCACCAAACGUGAGAACAUGUAAUGACUAUUGCAAGCAUCCACAACCUCGUUUUCAUCUGCACAG
Xenia sp. Carnegie-2017 is the source of this 147-nucleotide long non-coding RNA. RefSeq lists it as uncharacterized. The record is from RefSeq and is a predicted model, not a curated record. The transcript is spliced from 2 exons. Lineage: Eukaryota; Metazoa; Cnidaria; Anthozoa; Malacalcyonacea; Xeniidae.